GACGGAGGGGUCGAGUGUUAUUCAUCGUAACUGGGCGUAAAAGCAUGUAGUCUGAAGGUUAAAUUUUUUUUUAAAAUACACAAAGUAAUUUUGUGGACUAAUUCUUAAAAUAACUUUCUUGGGUUUAGUAGAAGUAAUCUGCCCUUUAGGUGUAUUGGGGGUGAAUCUCUAGAAAUCUAAAGUACGACCGGUGGUGGAAACUGAUUACUAUAUAAACUGACGAUCAGAUGCUAAAGUGUAGGAUCAAAAAGG
Molecule: ribosomal RNA, 252 nt
Filed under: uncultured bacterium
Lineage: Bacteria
Description: partial 16S ribosomal RNA
Rfam family: Bacterial small subunit ribosomal RNA
Source: RNAcentral